UAUUGGCAAAAAUGAUGAUUCAAUUAGAUGUGUGAAGGAAUUUACUUCCUUAUGAACACAAAAAAUUUGAGGCAUAUUGAAUUCCUGACUUGCCAUG
Molecule: small nucleolar RNA, 97 nt
Organism: Amaranthus tricolor (Joseph's coat)
Lineage: Eukaryota; Viridiplantae; Streptophyta; Magnoliopsida; Caryophyllales; Amaranthaceae
Product: small nucleolar RNA Z266
Exons: 1
Source: RefSeq, a predicted model, not a curated record